GGUUCGGUGGUGUAGUUGGUUAUCACGUCUGUCUCACAGCCCACUUGGUGGUUGCGCACAGGAGGUCUCCGGUUCGAGCCCGGACCGAACCA
This is a non-coding RNA of Trametes cingulata, 92 nucleotides long. The record is from the annotation of a GenBank genome assembly. Lineage: Eukaryota; Fungi; Basidiomycota; Agaricomycetes; Polyporales; Polyporaceae.